This 199-nucleotide ribosomal RNA is filed under the name uncultured bacterium. RNAcentral describes it as "partial 16S ribosomal RNA". It matches the Rfam family "Bacterial small subunit ribosomal RNA", at positions 89 to 304 of the family's 1533-position model. The record is from RNAcentral.
UACUUAGUGGCAGACGGGUGAGUAACAUGUGGGUAUAUGCCCUUUGGCCUGGAAUAGCACGAGGAAACUUGUGCUAGUACCGGAUAAGUGGUACCGGAGAAAGCUUUAUGCACCAUUGGAUGAGCCCGCACUUGAUUAGUUUGUUGGGGGGGUAAUGGCCUACCAAGACUUUGAUCAAUACCUGAUUUGAGAGGAUGAU